RNAcentral lists this transfer RNA (68 nucleotides) under Chioglossa lusitanica. RNAcentral's name for it is "tRNA-Ser". The record is from RNAcentral. Lineage: Eukaryota; Metazoa; Chordata; Amphibia; Caudata; Salamandridae.
AAGAAGAGUUUAGAAACACAGAAACUGCUAACUAUCUGACCCUGAAGUUAAAGCCCUCAGUCUUCUUA